Zea mays is the source of this 235-nucleotide long non-coding RNA. RefSeq lists it as uncharacterized. The transcript has 3 exons. NCBI's taxonomy places the organism in Eukaryota, Viridiplantae, Streptophyta, Magnoliopsida, Poales, Poaceae. The record is from RefSeq and is a predicted model, not a curated record.
UUUGACACUUGAACUCUUUUAUUUGCAGGUAGACUGCCCUUUCCCUCCAUCAGACAAAAUUGGCAUAAACUCUGUCCAAAGGGAAAAUGAGGAAAUAGUGCCAAUGAAGGCGAUGAAGAUGGCAUGGGUGCCUUAUGUUCCCCUUGAGGACCGGCUUAGCAGGAUUGACAGUUUGAAAACAAAAAUAUUCACUCUCGGAUGCACGCAGCGGAGGUCUGCACUGAAGCAUCUCAAA